AAGGAUCAUUGUCGAUGCCUAAACCAAUCCGACCAGCGAACGCGUCCAAACACCCGAAGCGUCGGGAGAGGGGCGGUCGCAACCGACCUCACCUCUCCAGGCAAAACCCAAACCCCGGCACCAUACGUGCCAAGGAUCCGAAACACAUUUUUGGUCGACUCCGAAGGACGGCGUCCGACGGAAUCGUCACGAAACGAAUCCAAACGACUCUCGGCAACGGAUAUCUCGGCUCUU
This 234-nucleotide unclassified non-coding RNA is filed under the name uncultured fungus. Its description in RNAcentral is "partial contains 18S rRNA, ITS1, 5.8S rRNA, ITS2 and 28S rRNA". The record is from RNAcentral. Lineage: Eukaryota; Fungi.